CUACGGGAGGCAGCAGUGGGGAAUAUUGGACAAUGGGGGAAACCCUGAUCCAGCGACGCCGCGUGAGUGAAGAAGUAUUUCGGUAUGUAAAGCUCUAUCAGCAGGGAAGAAAAUGACGGUACCUGACUAAGAAGCCCCGGCUAACUACGUGCCAGCAGCCGCGGUAAUAAAUCUAGAUGC
This 180-nucleotide ribosomal RNA is filed under the name uncultured Lachnospiraceae bacterium. RNAcentral describes it as "partial 16S ribosomal RNA". It matches the Rfam family "Bacterial small subunit ribosomal RNA", at positions 339 to 535 of the family's 1533-position model. Lineage: Bacteria; Bacillati; Bacillota; Clostridia; Lachnospirales; Lachnospiraceae. The record is from RNAcentral.